Molecule: long non-coding RNA, 3011 nt
Organism: Sorghum bicolor (sorghum)
Lineage: Eukaryota; Viridiplantae; Streptophyta; Magnoliopsida; Poales; Poaceae
Exons: 2
Source: RefSeq, a predicted model, not a curated record
AGGUCCCUCCUCAGCCUUGAUAUGUGGCGCUACGGCGGGGGCAAACCCUAGCCGCCAGGCGGCCAGGGAGCGAGUACCAAGCUCCCCAGUUCACGGUUUACAUCCUGUUCUACGCAAUCAUUUUUGAGCGAUCUUGUUGCUUGUUUGUAUUCAGUGGGCGUUGCUUGGUGAUUUUGUCUUUGCUCGCUUCGGAUCACUGGAUCAGCGUUGCUUUCUUGCUAGUACUUUUUGGGAUCACUGGAUCAGCCUUGAUACAAGCAGUCUUUCGCUUGAUUUGCGUAGUCAUGAAUCGACGACUUCUGUUUUGGUUAAGUCGCACCAUUAGCCCCCUGCUCUGUGAGGGUGGACGCAGGGAAAAAUGCGAGAAAAGGGUAUGGGUGCAAGAUUAAUGGACCGGGCAGGGGCUCUACCUCUGUGGAAACAAGUGAUUUUCCUAAGAGUCAUAUCUUCUGCCAUAGCAUCAUCUUGCUGUUGUUUUCUUUCUUGUAUUACUAUCUGAUAUGUUUGCUCCCUUCAGUUUAUCUAUCGAGUGUAAUCAUGCUCUGAAUUCUGUUUAGAAGCGAAAUGAGGAGACUGAAACAUCUGAAUGUUUUCAUGUGGAGAACACACGUAUGGUCUUCAAAGUUCUCUGAUUGCUUCAUGUUCAGACUUUUCUUGUCUCACAUUCUUUCAUGUGAAUUAAAUCAACAUGUAGCGAUUGCAAAGCAAAUGAGGAAGCUAUACCAUCUGAAACUGUGCUGUUGAUAAUUCUUGGAUGGUCUUCAAAGUUCUCUGAUUGCUUUCUCUAUGUACCUUGUACCUAUGGUAUCCAAUUGAUGUUUGUCUAGUGCAGUAAUAUUCUAUUUUCUUUCACCAUGCCAUCUGAAUAUUGGUACUAGUUAUGCUUGAGUCUGAACUGUAUUGUUUAGUCACUGAGAAGCAACAUGAAGAGGUCUUGUAAUCUGAAGAUAUCAUCUGAUGUUGAUACAUACAUUCAUGGUCUUCAAAGUUCUCUGAUUGCUUUCUUUACCUACAUCUCCUUAUCUAAAGUGAUUCUGGGUUAUGUUUAGUUUCUUUUUCUGCUGAAGCUAUAGCUUUAGACUCUCUCUUAAUUAAAAGUUAUGAAGUUUUAUGUCAAGAAGCAAAAUGAGGAGGUCAUAUGAUCUGAAGUGUGAUGUUGAUACACCCAUCCAUGGUCUUCAAAGUUCUCUGAUUGCUUCCUGUACACAUUCUAUAUCAUCUUUAUUGAAGUCAUACUUAAAUUGUGGCCACCUUUAAAAACCAUGUAUCCUAUAGGUUUAUAUUUUUUUCUUAAUUAUGCUUGAGCAAAGUUUAUCAUUUUUAAGAUGUCAAAGAAACAAAAUGAGGAGGCUAUAUGAUCUGAAGUAUCUGAUGUUGAUACAUCCAUUCAUGGUCUUCAAAGUUCUCUGAUUGCUUCUGUACCAACAUGCUAGAUUGCCUUUAUUGAAAUUAUAUUUGAAAUGUGUCCAUCUUAAAAAAGAUUGUGUAUCCUUGCUUUAUAGUGUUUCUUAGUUAUGCUUGAGCAAAGUUUUAGUGUUUAAGAUGUCAAAAAAGCAAACUGAUCAGGUUAUAUUAUCCGAAGUGUCAGAUGUUGAUACAUCAAUUCAUGGUCUUCAAAGUUCUCUGAUUCCUGCUGUUGUCAUAUUUCCAUCUAAGUUAUUGCAAUUUAUGCCUUUCAGCUUGGUGUGCUAUAUUACUAUGAAACUGGUUUGAUUUUAGUUCUAGAACUAUAAAAGUCUGGUUUUUACUAUCCCAAUCCAAUAUCCUUAUAUAAAAAUCCCUCCCAUGCCAGACAUUCGAUAACCUCGAACUUUUUAAAAUCAUUCACUUUCAUCUUUUAUCUGGUUUAGUGGGCAUUUUCACCACUCGGCGACCGGGUGAUGCGGGGGCCAUGUCACCUGUUUUAGCUGACAUGUCAGACUAGUCAGCAACAGUAAAAAUAAAGCAAAAAUAAAUUUGGACUCCAUUUGGCCUCCCAAAUAUCUGCUUCCUUGUGUUCUCUGUCAGUCUAUUCUUCUGCAAAUUUCAUCCGCUCUAUCUCCUCUGUGGGUGUGAUUACAAGGCAUCAGCUUCGACUGAGCUUUGCCAUUUUCUUCUCCUUCAUCACCAUUGGUCCCUACAGUUUCCCCCAAAGCUUGGCUUUCCUUCUCCCUCACCACCAUCUCCACAUCAGAGUCUCGGACCAGGACAUUCCCUUAGAAUGACUAACAGCACAAGAUCUUCAAGGUCCACAGAUCACAAAACUUAACAGCUAAUUCUCUUGCAACACAAGCUAGAGCUUCUUCUCAGUUUGUAUGCUCGAACCCCCCUCACAGAGGCUCAUGGCCUGUACUGGACAGCCUUAGACCUGUAAUCUUGGAGACCAUAACUCUCCUAAGUGUUAAAAUUUCUUAAUUUAAUGUGUUCCGUUUCUUAUAAAAAAGGAGGAUGAGGCAUGCCAAGCAGGCAUGUGCUACACGAGAGCAUUUGCAGAGAUGGUGAGCAUGAAGAAAGGACACAAAAUGCAGUGGUGCCAUUUCCGCAGCCACAUGCGCGCACUGGUGGCACUGCACGGAGUGGGAAAAAGGAAGCAGGGCAAGCUGCUGGAAGAGGAGCACCUUGCCAGAUUGGUUAUGGGAGGUAGGAGGAUUUUGUUCACGAAUCUCGAUCUAGAGGAAGAAGCUCCACUGGAGAACAGCAACGUCAUGAAGCUGCACUCAACCUUCUAGGACGAGAAAGCAGGGGGUGAAUGGGAAGAAGCAGAUUUGUUUUUGGGUAUGAUAUAGCGAAUAGAUUUGUUUGCAGAUUUCAAAAAAAGGAACUAAGCUACUAGUGAACAAUUAAAUCAUACUGUAUCUGAUACUUAUUUGGGAAUUGAUGACAGUUUUUGCAGCAGACUAAAGGAAUAAUUUUUGUGUCGGUUUGUUGCUUGUUCUGCAUGAGCACAGCACUGACGUCACCAAAUUAUGAUGUAUUGCUGCUUAUCUUUGUAUCAAACGUCAAUCAAUUCAAUUUGAUUCAGAUUGCUUCAA